This 184-nucleotide unclassified non-coding RNA is filed under the name soil metagenome. RNAcentral's name for it is "partial contains 5.8S ribosomal RNA, internal transcribed spacer 2, and large subunit ribosomal RNA". The record is from RNAcentral.
AACAAGGCGUACCUGCGGACCUGCGGAAGGAUCAUUAUUUGAUCUGAAUUGGAGGCUUUUUCUGGCUCCGGCCGGAAUUGCCGCCAUUUUCCUUUGUGAACUGUUGUUAUACUGUUGUAUUUUUUUUUAAAGUUGUAUAUUUUCUCCGGAAAAUAAAAUAAAGACAACUUUUAACAAUGGAUCU